This 916-nucleotide ribosomal RNA is filed under the name uncultured bacterium. Its description in RNAcentral is "bacterial SSU rRNA". It matches the Rfam family "Bacterial small subunit ribosomal RNA", at positions 551 to 1490 of the family's 1533-position model. The record is from RNAcentral.
UUACUGGGCGUAAAGCGCGCGUAGGCGGAUUGGAAAGUUGGGGGUGAAAUCCCGGGGCUCAACCUCGGAACUGCCUCCAAAACUCCCAGUCUUGAGUUCGAGAGAGGUGAGUGGAACUCCGAGUGUAGAGGUGAAAUUCGUAGAUAUUCGGUGGAACACCAGUGGCGAAGGCGACUGACUGGACUAUKUACUGACGCUGAGGUGCGAAAGUGUGGGGAGCAAACAGGAUUAGAUACCCUGGUAGUCCACACCGUAAACGAUGAAUGCUAGUUGUCUGCAUGCAUGCAUGUAGGUGACGCAGCUAACGCAUUAAGCAUUCCGCCUGGGGAGUACGGCCGCAAGGUUAAAACUCAAAGAAAUUGACGGGGGCCCGCACAAGCGGUGGAGCAUGUGGUUUAAUUCGAAGCAACGCGCAGAACCUUACCUACCCUUGACAUGCCUGGACGUGACCAGAGAUGGGAUCAUUCCUUCGGGACCAGUGCACAGGUGCUGCAUGGCUGUCGUCAGCUCGUGUCGUGAGAUGUUGGGUUAAGUCCCGCAACGAGCGCAACCCUCACCCUUAGUUGCCAGCAGGUUAGGCUGGGCACUCUAAGGGAACUGCCGGUGGCAAACCGGAGGAAGGUGGGGAUGACGUCAAGUCCUCAUGGCCCUUACGGGUAGGGCUACACACGUGAUACAAUGGCAGUGACAAUGGGAUAAUCCCCAAAAACUGUCUCAGUUCGGAUUGUCGUCUGCAACUCGACGGCAUGAAGUUGGAAUCGCUAGUAAUCGUGGAUCAGCAUGCCACGGUGAAUACGUUCCCGGGCCUUGUACACACCGCCCGUCACAUCAUGGGAGUUGGGUCUACCCGAAGACUGUGCGCUAACUUCGGAGGCGGCAGGCCACGGUAGGAUCAAAAGACUGGGAUGAAGUUUGA